CUUUUCUUGUUAGUUUUUGAAGUAUGGCCUGCCCACUGAGUAUAUUUGAAGGGCCGCGGUAUUUUGACCGUGCAAAGGUAGCAUAAUCAUUAGUUCUUUAAUUGUGAUCUGGAAUGAAUGGCUUGACGAGAUGCAAGCUGUCUUAGGUUUGGUGAAAUUUUAGUUGAAUUUGGUUUCUGGGUUAAAAUACUCAGAUUUUUUUAUGGGACGAGAAGACCCUAUAGAGUUUUACACUUAUAUUUAUUGUUGUUGUUUAGUUUGGUUUUUAUUAUUUAAAUAAGUUUAUUGUGUUUUGUUGGGGUGAUGGGAAGAAUUUGUUUAACUCUUCUUUAUUUUUGUACAUUUAUUUGUGUUAUUAUGAUCC
RNAcentral lists this ribosomal RNA (364 nucleotides) under Schedorhinotermes sp. NanningGX20091031cbby. RNAcentral's name for it is "partial large subunit ribosomal RNA". Lineage: Eukaryota; Metazoa; Arthropoda; Insecta; Blattodea; Rhinotermitidae. The record is from RNAcentral.